This 1152-nucleotide ribosomal RNA is filed under the name Triticum aestivum (bread wheat). RNAcentral describes it as "partial small subunit ribosomal RNA". Lineage: Eukaryota; Viridiplantae; Streptophyta; Magnoliopsida; Poales; Poaceae. The record is from RNAcentral.
AUGUCGUCGUUCGCCGGCGUAUCCGUCUUGGACGACGGCAUGCUGUGCCCUUCCACCAUGACCUUCGUCAGCACCAGCUCAGACUGCGGGUACCACCUGCUUGUGGUCAAGGGUUACGCUCGUACCAAGGAGACACCCAAUGGUCAAAGCAUCCUCUCUCAUGAUUUCGGGGUGGGAGGCUAUCGUUGGUCCAUCAAGUACUAUCCUAACGGCAUCAUCUCGGAUCGCGCCGACGUCGUCUCUCUCUAUGUGCACCGUCUCGAUGACGACGAUGGCAAGCAUGUGGAAGCCAAGUUUAGCUUUAGUUUCGUCGACGAGGUUGAGUGGCAGAAUCCAGUGUACAUCCGUGGAAUGAAAACAUGCAGCUUCUCCUCCGAUGCCUCUUCUUGGGGCUUCUACAAGUUUAUGAAAAUAGAUGCCCUUGAAAGAUUAAUGAAUCUAGACAAGGAUGACUGUUUCACCAUCCGGUGUGACAUCAUGGUCUGCAACGCCGAGAAUGAUGCCGGUGGCACCCAAGUGCUCCUGCCUGAUAUACACCGUAACCUUAACAACCUCCUUCACAAUAAGGUUGGUGCUGAUGUGACGUUUGAAGUCGGCAGCGAUAUUUUCUCAGCGCACCGAUGCGUGCUUGCAGCCCAAUCUAAGGUCUUCAUGGCACAACUAUUUGGACCCAUGAAGGAGGGAUCUGCCUCGCUCGAUGUCAUACAGAUCAAAGACAUGGAAGCAACAACGUUCAAGGCUUUGCUUAGCUUCAUCUACACUGACUCAUUCCCCGACAUGAAGGAGGAUGAAAUGUCACAAGCUACAGAAGAGGAGGCAGUAAAGUAUGAAAUGUGGCGGCAAUGGCUUCAAAACUUAUUGGUAGCAGCAGAUAGAUAUGACGUCCAAAGGCUCAAGUACAUAUGUGAGAAAGAGUUGUGUAAGAACAUGUGUGUAAGCUCGGUGGCGUCCAUGCUUGUCCUAGCUGAGCAGCACCACUGCCACAGAUUGAAGGAGGCGUGCUUGAAGUUUAUCCAAGUCCAGUCUCCCUCGUGUUUGCAGACAAUAAUCGCGAGCAAAGGUUGGCAGCAUAUAAUCGCGACUUAUCCCUCUGUUCUGAACGAGCUCAUUGCCAAGGUUAUUGCUUCAAACCAGCAGUUAGUCCUGAAGUGA